AUGUUGGAAGUGUUUUCUUUUAUUUACGCUCCCUCCCCCUAACAGAUUAAACAAGUCCAUGUUGUAUACAAAUGAUAUUUUACCAAGGCAUAUUUAUGUUGGAAGUGUUUUUUUUUCUUUACGCUCCCUCUCCCUAACAGAUUAAACAAGUCCAUGUUGUAUACAAAUGAUAUUUUACCAAGGCAUAUUUAGUUGGAAUGUUUUCUUUUAUUUACGCCUCCUCUCCCUAACAGAUUAAAAAGUCCAUGUUUAUACAAAUGAUAUGCUGUUACCAAGGCAUGUUUUAUGUUGGAAGUGUUUUCUUUUAUUUACGACCCCUCUCACCUAACGAGAUUAAACAAGUUCAUGUUGUAUACAAAUGAAUUUGACAAGCCAAUUUAUUUGGAAGUGUUUUCUUUAUUUACGCUCCCUCUCACCUAACAGAUUAAAACAAGCCAUGUUGUAACCAAAUGAUAUUUUACCAAGGCAUAUUUAUGUUGGAAGUGUUUUUCUUUUGAUUGUACGCCCUCUCCCUAACAGAUUUAAAACCCAAGUCCAUGUUUGUAUACAAAUGAUAUUUUACCAAGGCAUAUGUAUGUUGGAAGUGCUUUUCUUUAAUUUUCCCCGCUUCCCUAACAGAUUAAACAAGUCAUGUUGUAUACAAUAUUUUUACCAAGGCAUAUUUAUGUUUGAAGUGUUUCUUUUUUUACGCCCCCUCUCCCUACAGAUAAAAAACACGUCCAUGUUGUAUACAAGGAUAUUUUACCAAGGCAUAUUUAUGUUGGAAGUGUUUCUUUUAUUUUCCCGCUCUCCCUAACAGAUUAAACAAGUCCCAGUGUUGUAUACAAAUGAUAUUUUACCAGGCAUAUUUAUGUGGAAGUGUUUUCUUUUAUUUACGCCCUUUCCCUAACAGAUUAAACAAGUCCAUGUUGUAUACAAAUUGAUAUUUUUACAAGGCAUAUUAUGUUGGAAGUGUUUUCUUUUAUCUACGCCUCCUCUCCCUUUACAGAUUAAACAUCCCAUGUUUUAUACAAAUGAUAUUUUACCAAGGCAUAUUAUGUUGGGAAGUGUUUUCUUUUAAUUUAGCCCCUCUCCCUAAACAGAUUAAAAAAGUCCAUGCUGUAUACAAUGAUAUUUACCCAAGGCAUUAUUUAUGUUGGGAAGUGUUUUCUUUUAUUUUCCCCGCUCUCCCCUAACAGAUUAAACAAGUGUCGAUGCUGUAUACAAAUAUAUUUUACCAAGCAUAUUUAUAGUUGGAAAGUGUUUCUUUUAUUUUACGCUCCCUCUCCCUAAUAGAUUCUAAACAACGGCCAUGUUGCAUACAAAUGAUAUUUUACCAAGGCAAUAUUUAUGUUGGAAGUGGUUUUCUUUUAUCACGCUCCCUCUCCCUUACAGAUUAAACCAGUGCCAUUGUUGUAUACAAAUGAUAUUUACCAAGGCAUAUUUAUGUGGAAGUUUUUUUUCUUUUAUGACCUCCCUCUUCCCUAACAGAUUAAACAAGUCAUGUUGUAUACAAAAUGAUAUCUUACCAAGGCAUGUUUUAUGUCGGAAGUGUUUCUUUUUAUUUACCGACCCUCUCCCUACAGAUUAAACAAGUCCAUGUUGUAUACAAAUGAAUUUUACAAGGCUAUUAUGUUGAAGUGUUUUCUUUUAUUUACGCGUCUUCUCCCUAACAGAUUAAACAAGGUCCCAGUUGUAUACAAAUGAUAUUUUACCAAGCAUAGUUUAUGUUGGAAGUGGUUGUUCUUUUAUUUACGCCCCUCUCCCUAAAGAUAAAACAAGUCCAUGUUGUAUACAAAUAUAUUUUUACCAAAGCAUAUUUAUGUUGAAUGUUUUCCUUUAAUUUUUCCCCGCUCUCCCUAACAGAUUCAAACAAUCCAUGUUGUAUACAAAUGAGUAUUUUACCAAGGCAUAUUUAUGUUGAAAGGUUUUCUUUUAUUUACGCCCCCUCUCCCUAACAGAUAAAACACGUCCAUGUUGCUAUACAAAUGAUAUUUUACCAAGCAUAUUUAUGUUGGAAGUGUUUUCUUUUAGUUUCCCCGUUCUCCCCCCCAUAACAGGAUUAAACAAGUCCAAUGUUGUAUACAAAUGAUGAUGUUUACCAAGGCAUAUUUAUGUUGGGAAGUGUUUUCUUUUAUUUACGCUCCCUUUCCCUAACAGAUUAACAAGUCCAUGUUGGUUAUACAAAUGAUAUUUUACCAAGGCAUAUUUAUGUGGAAGUGUUUUCUUUUUAUUUACGCUCCCUUUCCCUAACAGAUUAAACAAUCCAUUGUUGUAUACAAAUGAUAUUUUACCAAGCAUAUUUAUGUUGGAAGUGUUUUCUUUUAUCUACGCUCCCUCUCCCUUACAGAAUUAAACAAGUCCAUGUUUAUACAAAAUAAUAUUUUACCAAGAUAUUUUAUGUUGAAGUGUUUUCUUUUAUUUACGCCCCUCUCCCUAACAAUUAAAACAAGUCCAUGGUUAUCAAAUGAUAUUGUACCAAGGCAUAUUUAGUUGAAGUGUUUUCUUUUAUUUUCACCAAACGCCAUCUACCUAAACAGAAAUUAAACAAGGAUCCAUGUUGUAUACAAAUGGUAUUACAAAGGCAUAUUGAUGUUGGAAGUUUUCUUUUAGUUAGCCCCCCUCUCACCUAACAGAUUAACAAGAUCCCAUGGAUGUAAUACAAAUGAAUAUAUAUUACCAAGGCUAUUUAUUGUUGGAGUGUUUCUUUAUAUUUACAGCCACCCCUCUCCCUAACAGAUUAAAACAAGUCCAUGUUGUAUACAAAUGAUAUGUUACCAAGACAGUAUUUAUGUUGGAAGUGUUUAUCUAUUUAUGUUACGCUCCCAUCUCAUAACAGAAUUAAACAAGGUCCAUGUUGUAUACAAAUGAUAUUUACCAAGGCAAUUUAUGUGGAAAAGUUUGUCUUUAUAUUUACCCCCUUUCACCUAACAGAUUAAACAAGCAUCCAUGGUAGAUAUACAAAAUGAUAUUUUACCAAUGACACAUAUGUGGAAGUGUUUUCUUUGUUCACCCCUCUCCCUAACAGAUUAAACAUGUCCAUGUUGUAUACAAAUAUCAUUUUACCAAGACAUAUAUAUGUGAGAGUGUUUGCGUUUUAUUUACGCCCCCUCUCCCUUACAGAUUAAAACAAGUCCAUGUUGUAUACAAUGGUAUUUUACCAAGGCAUAUUUAUGUUGAAGUGUUUUCUUUAUUUACGCCCCCUCUCCCCAACAGAUAAAACAAGUCCAUGUUGUAUACAAAUGAUAUUUUACCAAGGCAGAUUUAUGUUGGAAGUGUUUUCUUUUAUUUACGCUCCCUCCCCCUAACAGAUUAAACAAGUCCAUGUUGUAUACAAAUGAUAUUUUACCAAGGCAUAUUUAUGUUGGAAGUGUUUUUUUUUCUUUACGCUCCCUCUCCCUAACAGAUUAAACAAGUCCAUGUUGUAUACAAAUGAUAUUUUACCAAGGCAUAUUUGAUGUUGGAAGUGUUUUCUUUUAUUUACGCCCCAUCUCCUACAGAUAAACAAGUCCAUGUUGUAUACAAAUGAUAUUUACCAAGCAUAUUUAUGUUUGGAAGUGUUUUCUUUUAUUUACGCUCCCUUUCGCCUAACAGAUUAAAACAAGUCCAUGGUUGUAUACAAAUGAUAUUUACCAAGCAUAUUUAUGUUGGAAGUGUUUUUUCUUUUAUCUACGCUCCCUUCGUCCCUUACAUAUUAACAAGUCCGAUGUUUGUAUACAAAUGGAUAUUUUACCAAGGCUAUUUAUGUGGAAGUGGGUUUCUUUUAUUUACGCCCCUCUCCCUAACAGAUUAAACAAUCCAUGCUGUAUACAAAUGAUAUUUUACAAGGCAUAUUUAUGUUGGAAGUGUUUUCUUUUAUUUCCCUUCUCCCUAACAAUUAAUCAAGUCCAUGGUUUACAAAUGAUAUUUUACCAAGAUUAUUAUGUGAAGUGUUUUCUUUAGUUACGCCCCCUCUAACCUAACAGAUUGAACAACGUCCAUGGGUAUACAAUAUAUUUACCAAGGCAGAUUUAUGUUGGAAGUGUUUUCUUUUAUUUACGCUCCCUCCCCCUAACAGAUUAAACAAGUCCAUGUUGUAUACAAAUGAUAUUUUACCAAGGCAUAUUUAUGUUGGAAGUGUUUUUUUUUCUUUACGCUCCCUCUCCCUAACAGAUUAAACAAGUCCAUGUUGUAUACAAAUGAUAUUUUACCAAGCAUUAUUAAUUUAUGUUGGAAAGUGUUUUUAUUUACGCCCCCUUUCCCUAACAAGAUUAAACAAGUCCAUGGUGUAUACAAAUGAUAUUUUACCAAUGCAUACAUAUGUUGAAGUGUUUUCUUUUAGUACGCCCCCCUCUCCCUAACGAUAAACAUGUCCAUGUUGUAUACAAAUGAUAUUUUACCAAGACAUAUUUAUGUUGGAAGUUUUUCUUUUAUUCACGCUUCCCUCUCCUAAACAGAUUAAACAAGUUCGCAUGUUGUAUUACAAAUAUAUUUUACCAAGGCAUAUUAUAUGUGGAAGUGUUUCCUUUUAUUUACGCCCCCUCUUCCCUGAACAGAUAAAACAAGUCAUGUUGUAUUACAAAUGAUUAUUUACCAAGCAUAUUUAGUUGGAAAGUUUUUCUUUUAUUUUCCCCGCUCUCCCCUAACCAGAUUAAACAAGUCCAGUUGUAUACAAAUGAUAUUUUUACCAAGGCAUAUUUAUGUUGGAAGUGUUUGUCUUUUAUCUACGCUCCCUCUCCCUUACAGAUUAAACAAGUUUCAUGUUGUAUACAAUAUAUUUUACCAAGGCAUAUUUAUGUUGGAAGUUUUUCUUAUUAAUUACGCCCCUCUUCCUACAGAUUAAACAAGUCCAUGUGUAUACAGAAUGAUAAUUUUUACAACUUGAAGCAUAUUUAUGUUGGAAGUGUUUUCUUUUAUUUCCCCGCUCUCCCUUAACAGAUUAACAAGUCCAUGCUGUAUACAAAUGAUAUUUACCAAGGCAUAUUUAUGUUGGAAGUGUUUUCUUUUAUUUACGCCCCUGCUC
RNAcentral lists this long non-coding RNA (4981 nucleotides) under Mytilus galloprovincialis (Mediterranean mussel). Lineage: Eukaryota; Metazoa; Mollusca; Bivalvia; Mytilida; Mytilidae. The record is from RNAcentral.